This 1056-nucleotide long non-coding RNA is filed under the name Lactuca sativa (garden lettuce). Its description in RNAcentral is "long non-coding RNA (LSAT_LNC007910)". Lineage: Eukaryota; Viridiplantae; Streptophyta; Magnoliopsida; Asterales; Asteraceae. The record is from RNAcentral.
UUUCAAUACUCACGCUAGGAGAGAGACAAAGCGCAUACUGCCAUCAAUCAUCUCUCCCGAAGAUCUUGAUGAGGAAGACUGUGUUGUUGAUCGGCGACGACGACUCAAAGACAACGAGUUGGGAGGUCCGGACACGACGAUGGCAAGAGCCGGAAAAAGGCAACAGUGGGCAGUAACUUUGCUUCUUUUUCCACUUGUUAUAUUGUUUUUUGUCUCUUAUAUGUAUAUAUCUUCCAUUUUUACAUUAUUAACGUGGUUUUUUUCCCUUUGGCAAAUCUUCCACUCUUUUACACAUAUCUUUCUGCCAUCAAAAUGCCAAUACUUGAAGAAAUUCAGCAGGGAAAGGGGAAGAAUUAACUAUUAAGUCACCGGUAGAAAGGAUGGCAAGUGGGAGGUGGCCGGGUGGGAGGAAGUCUUACCCCCCUCAACGGCCGGUGGUCUUUGUUUAUUAAGAAAGCAGGCUAUUGUAUUUAGUAAUAUUGACUAUAUUCUAUAAGUUAACUUUUCAAUGACAAUUAUUUAGUAAAAAACAGCCAACAAUAUCAAAUGUUAAAUGUAACUAUAACUAAUCAUCCUAAACCAUGCAAUCGAGAUAAGCACAAAAAUGUAGAAGAACGACAAGGGACUGAUUCGGAGUCUUUAUCUUCUUCUACACAACCUAGCUAGCAGCUAGGGUCAAAAGGUUUUACAAGCCGUCGGCGAAAGGCCGGAGAAGAUCGGAGAACGGCAGAACGGGCAAGAAGGCUGUUUCCGGUGAAGCAAUUGACCGACGCAGUCGGAGUGGAAGACGUGUCGACACCUGCUGAGCUGACAAACAACGUCAUCAAGAUGGUAAUCAGCAGAGCAUACGAAGCACAUCUCUUCCACGGAUCUCUGUCGCCUUUCCAGCAGAUCUUCGAACCUGAUAACCGGAAGAUCGACGAGACUUGGGUAUGGAGUAGAGUUUUCGCAUCGAAACAAGUAGAAGAAAAAGUCCUUGAUUAAACUGAGCAACUCGUGCUUGAUACGGAAGACUGGGAAGAGAAUACAGAGGUAGAAGAUGAAGUUCAUCAACAU